AGCCCCCUCACUGUGUUGCUCCCACCACUCACCCGAUACCGACCCCCUCGCCCACGCCCGGGCAGGCAGGGCUGGGACACCAGACCUACCUGGGCCACGGGAUGCACUGGGCAGGUGGGGGUGGCAGGGACAGUGGCUUCUGAGUGCACAGGAGUGGCUGGUGUUUGACGAGAUCCGCCCUCAGGUAAGCGGCAUGAGGAGAAUGACACUAGCGGCUUGGGCAGAAGAGAGAAGGGCCGUUGAAGCAGACAGCGCCGGCUAUUUUCAGGCGGGCUCCAUUUGGGUGGCCUCCUGCCCCCUAAUAUCUGAUAUUGGGAAAGAAUGGUGGCUUUCCCGCUGCGGAAACUGUUUUCCUCAUCAGUUACAGCUGAGCACCUGCCUGCUCGCUGCUCACCGGGGGCACAGGCACUGCCCCUAAAAGCCGAGAGCCUCUCGCGCACGCGCAGUCCGCUUCCCAGAACCGGCCGGCUCCAGUCUGAUCCUGUCAAGGCUUGUUGGCCUAGAGCCUGGUCCUGCGCAGGGAACAUGCUCAAAUGCACUCAUCAUGACAAAGUACCUGCUGUGGAAAUGCUUUUUAAAAUUGUGAGACAUGAAGGCGUUUUUGGAGGAAGAAGGGUCAUUAUCUAAUUCUUAAGAUUUUUGAUACCUUGUAAGAAUCUUAGAGAGUUUGAACAACUUACUAAUAGCUUUAGUGUUUCCAGCCGAUCUUUAAUGUACAAGGUUAAGCGGAUGCAUCUUUAUGUUAAAUAAAGUAUUUGAAGCCUAUAAAUACAAACCAGUUUCAUUUAAUUGUUUUGACUGCCUCCUCCUGCAGCAGCACUUUCUGAAGCACUGCUGACAAACAGUAAAAAGAAAAAUUUGCAUUUCAGAGCCCUUUAUUUCCCCAAUCAUACAUUGGUGUGGAUUCUAGUGAAUAAUGCGAAAACUCAGUGGCGGGAAGCCAAAAAGAGAAUAAAAAAAAGCAAAGAUGGAGAUAACAAACUAUGCCACAAACUAUCCUAUUAAUCCUAGAAUGACUGGGAAUUGAUUAUUAGUGAGCUCAUUUUUUGUUUGUUUCAGCUCUUGACUAGAGAAGGCUGGCUUUGCAGAGCAUCAUAAAGCAUGAUGAACAGAGGCUUUCUCAAAGGCUCAAGUCCCUAUUUUUUCACUAAAUGGAUGUUAACACUAGGACUAUACAAGUCAUAUAUCAUUAAGAAAAGAAAUUAAGAUCUUAGUGUCUUUUCUAAAUAUAUUUUCAUAAAAAUAAAUUUGAAAUAAAGAACACAGGGACUUUAUCACUUGUCUCAAUAGCUAGAUUUUUGGCAUUUGUAUUUAAACAAAUAAUAUGAUAUAAGUGCUAUAUUCAAAAUAUGUGCUAUGGAAGACAAUAUAUUACAUCAAUAACAAUUAAGAUAUAUAUUCUUAGCCUUUUUUGACCCACAUUUUAUUCAGUUAUCAGCAUUCAACAAAUAUUUGUUGAACACAUACACCAAAUGUUUCCAUUUAACAAUGCCAACUGUUAUCUCCAUUUCUCUUUUAAAACAAAGAUUAUUAAAUGAAUGGGGAUUGAUGGAGAGAGCUGAUGAUUUGUCUUGGGAACCUGAGAGGGAGAAAGAAUUUAGAGACCUGGCUGGACCAGAGGUAUGCUGGUAAGUGUUUAACAACUGGCUCUCCAGGGUUUAAAAAGAAAAAAAAGAGGCCCCAUUUGUUUGUUAAUUCAUGUGGUGGUAAAUAACACCUGGCUUCCCAGUAGUAAAGAACCUGCCUGACAGUGCAGGAGACGUAAGAGACAUGGGUCUGAGCCCUGGGUUGGGAAGAUCACCUGGAGAAGGGAACCCACUCCAGUAUUCUUGCCUGGAGAAACCAUGGACAGAGGAACCUGGCGGACUACAGUCCAUGGGGUCACAAAGAGUCGGACACUACUGAAGCAACUUGGCAUGCACAUAAAGAACACCAUCAUGUCUGAUUUCAGUCUACCAACCUGACGUCAUUGAAUGUGGAGUUGGGAAAAGACAAACUUUCCAUUUUCCUGAUCUGUGAUGACCCCACUCUAGUACAUCAUUGUUAACACUCAACAGUGACUUUCUGGGGUCACCCUGAGAGCCUAUCUGUGACUGUAGAACAGGCAAAACUGGGAGGUUAAAUAGCUUUGCAGAGUGACUCAUAAAUGCCCAUAGAUACAUAUAUAUAUGCCUGCAUUGUCCUUAUAUCUUUUCUUUUAGAGCAUCUAAUCUCACAUGCCCUCUGGUAAACUGAGCAACUGACCUCUGCUGCCACAAAGAGAAAAACAGCAUUUGCUAUGGGAAGAUGGCAGUAACUUUAAGCUCCUUUUGCAAUAUGUUUCCCCAUUUUGUCACACAAUAUUAAAAAUAUGUGUCCCUGAGGAUGAGAUUUAAUAAAAUCAGUAAUGUUUCUGCUUCAUCAAGGAAAUUCUUAAAUAAAAUUUGCAGUUUCCAAUGAGAAUAUGUUAAGAUAAAGAAUUCAGUGACUCUAAGUCUUAAUUAGAGCUAAAUUUCCAGAAGUUUACCCACUAUUGCUUUUGUACCAUCAUCACAAAUAUCAAGCCAAUUUAAAGGGUCAAUAACAUCUUAGUUUUGUUAUGAAAAUAAUUUUUACCUUGCAGGCCUCAAAAAAGCAUCUCUGAGCCUCCUGGGGUUCCAUGGACAACAGUUUGAGAGCUACCACUCUAACCUGCUGCUGCUGCUAAGUCGCUUCAGUUGUGUCCGACUCUGUGCGACCCCAGGGAUGGCAGCCCACCAGGCUCCCCUAUCCCUGGGAUUCUCCAGGCAAGAACACUGGAGUGGGUUGCCAUUUCCUUCUCCAAUGCAUGAAAGUGAAAAGUGAAAGUGAAGUCGCUCAGUCAUGUCCGACUCUUAGCGACCCCAUGGACUGCAGCCCACCAGGCUCCUCCAUCCAUGGGAUUUUCCAGGCAAGAGUACUGGAGUGGGGUGCCACUGAGGGUCACGAAUAUCUCUUGGAUGAUUUAUCACAGUAAGCUCCACAUGUCCAUCCUGGCUACCUUGUGAUCCAUUCAGCAACAGUCAAAGUGGACUUGUAAUAAAGCAAACCUAAUCAUGUCACUUCUUACUCAAAACCCUCUUAUGACUUCCCGUUACUCUUAGAAUUGAAUGAAAACCCUUUCUAUGACUGACGGAGCCCUCUGUUAUUUUGUCCUUGCCUACCGCUGCAGCCUCAUCUCCCUGUGUCCUCCUCUUCAAUCUGUUUACAGCAGCUACGCUAGCUUCUUUCUGUUUUUCAGCCACAGCAGAGUCAUUCUUGCUACCAGUCUUUGCAUGUGCUCUUCUUUGUAAUGUUUUCUCCAUAUUCUACUGACCUGAUUAGCUGGACUCAUUCUGUAGCUAUGGACUUAAAUCUCACUCUAAGAGGAUUUCCUUAUCAGUCUCCUGUUAGAUUAGAUCCCCUCUCAUGUGUUCUCACCCUCUUGUGAUUAUAUACUUACAGUUGAACUUGUUUUUGAGAUCUGUCUUCUCUGAGAGACCAUAACUGUUCUCAUGGAAGAGACUAUGUCUGUCAUGAUCUCCAUAACAGAUUAAGGGCUUUGAAUGUUGUCUGACUUGAUUGAAGACUGUCACCUAGUGUGAAAAAGAAGGACCUGGAAGAUGAUCUG
Molecule: long non-coding RNA, 3607 nt
Filed under: Capra hircus (goat)
Lineage: Eukaryota; Metazoa; Chordata; Mammalia; Artiodactyla; Bovidae
Description: lncRNA (ENSCHIG00000007222.1)
Source: RNAcentral